AGAGUUUGAUCAUGGCUCAGGACGAACGCUGGCGGCGUGCUUAACACAUGCAAGUCGAACGGUGACGGAGAGCUUGCUCUCCUGAUCAGUGGCGAACGGGUGAGUAACACGUGGGCAACCUGCCCCAGACUUCGGGAUAACGCUUCGAAAGAGGUGCUAAUACCGAAUACGAACCUCCCUGGCAUCUGGGAGGUUGGAAAGUUUUCGGUCUGGGAUGGGCCCGCGGCCUAUCAGCUUGUUGGUGAGGUAACGGCUCACCAAGGCGACGACGGGUAGCCGGCCUGAGAGGGCGACCGGCCACACUGGGACUGAGACACGGCCCAGACUCCUACGGGAGGCAGCAGUGGGGAAUAUUGCGCAAUGGGCGAAAGCCUGACGCAGCAACGCCGCGUGAGGGAUGACGGCCUUCGGGUUGUAAACCUCUUUCAGCAGGGAAGAAGCGAAAGUGACGGUACCUGCAGAAGAAGCACCGGCCAACUACGUG
This 484-nucleotide ribosomal RNA is filed under the name uncultured bacterium. RNAcentral describes it as "bacterial SSU rRNA". It matches the Rfam family "Bacterial small subunit ribosomal RNA", at positions 8 to 507 of the family's 1533-position model. The record is from RNAcentral.